AAUUUACCAGCCAGCGCUGGUGCAUUCGACCUCUGCGCAACGAGAUACAAUUGGUGAGCGCCGCUCUUGUUGGGCUCUGGCCAGCUCUUCGGGCAGCCGGGGGUGUCUGUCGGGAGCCCCCCGGCCGGUUCCCGGGAGGGAUGCACGGGAGGAGUCCCGGGGUCCCGGGGGACUCCUCGGCCGCUCUCCGUGGUGCUGCAGCCGCCGCCCGCGGUGCCUCCUGCGGGAGGGCAGGAUCCCCUUCCCCGGGAGCACGGCCGGCCGUGCCGCUAACUCCUCCCUUCGGAUGCAAGGGCUGCACCGCCACAAGCCAUCCUCUCGCCGCCCCCCUCCUUCUCCUUUCUCCCGUUUCGACAGAGCGAGCGGGCUUGCUCUGCCUGCGCGGCGGCGGCUGCCCACCGCGGACCCCGUGGGCUUGGGGCGGGUGCUUUAAUUUUGGCAGGACCUGCCCGCCGCCCUUCCCGGAUAAACUUGGGCCGGCGCCCCCCGGCACCGCGUUUUGGGGCUGGUGGGCUCCCGGCUGCCUGCGGGGAUGCCCAGCAUCCAAUAAUGCAAUGGCUGGAAGACCACAACGUGUCAGAUUAACUGGGUGGACACAUUGGAUAUUAGCAACAAUUCUGCUGCUGUGGAGUUACCAGAUCAGUGGACAAGUCAAUGGGGGCAAUUCUAUAGAUCGAGAUCCGAAGGAGCUUGAAAUCAUUAGCAUUCCUGACUCAUAAUUUCAGUAAGCCAUACUGAAGCCCUGCAAAUUCCACUAAGAGCUACUACACCUGGUAUAACACUCCAAGGAUCUCUGGGCUGUUAUUUUCCUGAGAAUCCCAAGGACUGGGACUCCACUCCAGUGACAGUCCAGAGAAACACUGGUCAUAAUAUGGGGACCUCUGUCCCUGUUGAGUUCUAUCCAACUGUAAUGAACGGGGGGGGGGGGGGGGGGAUAGAAUGUUUUGUGGUGUUAGAUAUACUUUUGUCUGGCAUUAGAGCUGUGGAAAAUGUGAGAAGUUUCUUUGAUGGAAAGGUAGGCUUGAAACCUGUAUUGUGAAAAUUGCUGGCAACGUUAAUUUCACAAGUUAAUAAGAAAUGCUAUUCAAUGUGUUUACUAUGUUGCUUUUCAUAAAUAAUUCAGAAUUGGAAAUUUCAGUUUUCAGACUUCUCUGUAACACUUAGCCAUUUAUUCACCUUUCAUCCCCUUUAGAAAUCCAAUCAGGUUAAGAGCAUUUUAAUGCACUCCUAAUAUGUGCAUUACCUGGAAUUUUAGAUUAAAGUAGAAAAGAGGUCCUUGUGACCAUUAUAAGUGAUCUUCAAGGGUUACUCUAAGAGUGAUAAAAUUGGUUUCAUCUAGCACGUGUUUUGAUUGAAAUACUUUCCGAUGUCAAAACACAUCCUCCAAAGAUCACCUUCAAUGCUAAAAAGGCUAUAUAUGCUGUACUGUUUGACCUGCUUUGGAGAUAGUUCAGUCAAACCAAAUCAUUUUAGCACUAGUAAUCAUGAAGACUGCAGCUCAGUAUCUCUGAACAGAAGUGUGGUUCCUAAUAGUUGUGCUAUGCAUACAGCAGUAUGAUCCCUGCAGUUCUCAGUUGCUGGUUUACAUGCCGCAGGUGCUCAGAUGCAGAAUUGAUGGGCGGCCAUUUAAAACUUUUAAGAGAAGUAGAUACAUAAAUCCAGCUGUGCAGACUAAUCCAUUGUGAAAUGGCUCCUACUGCUUUAAAUUGGUACUCCGUCUUUAAGCAAAUACUUCUUUCCUACAGACAAUUAGAAACAGAGAUGAAAAUUAAAAUGAUCUAUAGCAGAUAAGUGCUUAAAGUUACGAUGCACAGGUUGUUCCUAAAGUUGAGUGCAGGUGGAGUUCCUUGCUUCCUUUGCAGAAAGGGGGAAAGCGAAAAAGGCCUUAGAUAGAGAUCAGUGUGGAAUGGCAACUGGUGGUCCAAAUAAUUUGUAAAGUGAAGUGAUUGAGAAAUGGUGAUAUGUUAUUGGACAUAUUUGGAUAUUGAGUUAGUUAUAAACUUUAAGCAAUAAGUGAAAGUAGACCUGUGAUUGGGAGACAAAAUCCGUUGGCAGGCAAGUUGUGUGCAAUAAUGUGGAAUACUAGUUAAAUGUACUUUAAGUUAGGUCUUCUCUCCAUGUGUGCUGUAAUGGUAGCUGGAAAAUGUAACACCAGAGCACAUGGUUUUUCUCCUUUUUUUUUUUUUUUUGCCAUAAGAAUUAUAUCAAUGCAUUGCUUGGAAAGCACAAAAGUGUUAUGAAACUGUUUUAUAACUAUAUACAAAGAAAGUGGAGGUAAACUUAGAAAAUGUUUUUUUUUGUGCUAAAAUACACAUUAGUGGUCUUUUAAAAAAUCUGUAACUUCUUAAGUCUUACUCAGAUUUAUGAUUACUUGUAAUCAUAAAACUAAAAAUGGCUAAUUGGGUCAUUUUAAGGACCUAUUUUGCUAAAGGAAAAAUAAGAAGGAACACAUUUAAUGGUGGGAUUUUAAAGAUUGUAUAUCAGAAAUGGAAAAAGUCGAUUAAAUUCAAGGGUCGAUUAAAUUAGGGUGUGUCUGUAAUUGACUUCACUGGGACCUUCUCAGUUAAUAUUAACAUAAACUUACUUUAAAGCUGUUAGACUGAAAAAUAAAAAUUAGGUGAGCAAUGUGGCCUUGGCUUGA
RNAcentral lists this long non-coding RNA (2641 nucleotides) under Anas platyrhynchos platyrhynchos (common mallard). RNAcentral describes it as "lncRNA (ENSAPLG00000024777.1)". The record is from RNAcentral. Lineage: Eukaryota; Metazoa; Chordata; Aves; Anseriformes; Anatidae.